UAGGGAAUAUUGGACAAUGGGGGCAACCCUGAUCCAGCCAUGCCGCGUGAGUGAAGAAGGCCCUCGGGUUGUAAAGCUCUUUUGUCCGGAAAGAAAAGCAUUCGGUGAAUACCCGGAUGUUCUGACGGUACCGGAAGAAUAAGCACCGGCUAACUUCGUGCCAGCAGCCGCGGUAAUACGAAGGGUGCAAGCGUUACUCGGAAUUACUGGGCGUAAAGCGUGCGUAGGUGGUUGUUUAAGUCUGAUGUGAAAGCCCUGGGCUCAACCUGGGAAUGGCAUUGGAAACUGGGCAGAUAUAGUGCGGUAGAGGGUAGUGGAAUUCCCGGUGUAGCAGUGAAAUGCGUAGAGAUCGGGAGGAACAUCUGUGGCGAAGGCGACUGCCUGGACCAGCACUGACACUGAGGCACGAAAGCGUGGGGAGCAAACA
RNAcentral lists this ribosomal RNA (427 nucleotides) under uncultured bacterium. Its description in RNAcentral is "bacterial SSU rRNA". It matches the Rfam family "Bacterial small subunit ribosomal RNA", at positions 355 to 774 of the family's 1533-position model. The record is from RNAcentral.